RNAcentral lists this unclassified non-coding RNA (242 nucleotides) under uncultured Capnodiales. RNAcentral's name for it is "sequence contains 5.8S rRNA gene, ITS2, 28S rRNA gene". The stretch from base 1 to 52 matches the Rfam family "5.8S ribosomal RNA", at positions 103 to 154 of the family's 154-position model. The record is from RNAcentral. Lineage: Eukaryota; Fungi; Ascomycota; Dothideomycetes; Capnodiales.
AACGCACAUUGCGCCCUUUGGUAUUCCGAAGGGCAUGCCUGUUCGAGCGUCAUUUCACCACUCAAGCCUGGCUUGGUAUUGGGCGUCGCGGUGUUCCGCGCGCCUUAAAGUCUUCCGGCUGAGCUGUCCGUCUCCAAGCGUUGUGGAUUUUUCAAUUCGCUUCGGAGUGCGGGUGGCCGCGGCCGUUAAAUCUUUAUUCAAAGGUUGACCUCGGAUCAGGUAGGGAUACCCGCUGAACUUAA